ACACUGACGUCGCGACGCAUAUCAAUAAGCGGAGGAAAAGAAACUAACAAGGAUUCCCUAGUAACGGCGAGUGAAGCGGGAAGAGCUCAAAUUUGAAAUCUUCAAGGUUCUACCUUGACGAAUUGUAGUUUAAAGAAGUGUUUUCUGUUAGAUGAGUAGUAAAAGUUCCUUGGAAUAGGGACAUCAUAGAGGGUGAGAAUCCCGUAUUUGGACUAUUCAUUUCUAGCUUUGUGAUACACUUUCAAAGAGUCGGAUUGUUUGGGAAUGCAGUCCAAAAUGGGUGGUAAAUUUCAUCUAAAGCUAAAUAUUGGCGAGAGACCGAUAGCGAACAAAGUACCUGUGAGGGAAAGAUGAAAAGAACUUUGAAAAGAGAGUUAAACAGUACGUGAAAUUGUCAAAAGGGAAGCGUUUGACACCAGUGUUGUUUUUCCGAAAAUCAAUUACGAAUGGCUUGAUUUUGUGUUGUAUUGACCUUAUCAGCUUUCUGCACUUUUUUCGAGUCUUUCUUAAUGCACUUUUUGGUUAACAAGUCAACAUCAAUUUCUUUUGUUGUAAAAGAGUAUUCGGAAGGUGGCUUUCUUUUCGGAGAAAGUGUUUAUAGCCCUAUACUUCUACAAUCGGAGAGAUUGAGGUCUGCAGCGUAGAUCCUUCGGGGUUAGAUACACUUGUGCUAAGUUAUAGCUUUUCAUAGACAACUUGUUGACUAUGUUUAGUCUUGUAGCUUACUCGCUUGUGCUAUUUUACCUACGCUUAGGAUGUUGAGUCGUAGAGCACGCAG
This 778-nucleotide ribosomal RNA is filed under the name uncultured Neocallimastigales. RNAcentral describes it as "partial large subunit ribosomal RNA". It matches the Rfam family "Eukaryotic large subunit ribosomal RNA", at positions 25 to 631 of the family's 3401-position model. Lineage: Eukaryota; Fungi; Neocallimastigomycota; Neocallimastigomycetes; Neocallimastigales. The record is from RNAcentral.